RNAcentral lists this ribosomal RNA (704 nucleotides) under Streptococcus sp. HFB0004. RNAcentral describes it as "bacterial SSU rRNA". It matches the Rfam family "Bacterial small subunit ribosomal RNA", at positions 71 to 761 of the family's 1533-position model. Lineage: Bacteria; Bacillati; Bacillota; Bacilli; Lactobacillales; Streptococcaceae. The record is from RNAcentral.
GCUUGGUGCUUGCACCGAGCGGAUGAGUUGCGAACGGGUGAGUAACGCGUAGGUAACCUGCCUCUUAGCGGGGGAUAACUAUUGGAAACGAUAGCUAAUACCGCAUAAAAGUCGACAUCGCAUGAUGUUGACUUGAAAGGUGCAAUUGCAUCACUAAGAGAUGGACCUGCGUUGUAUUAGCUAGUUGGUGAGGUAACGGCUCACCAAGGCGACGAUACAUAGCCGACCUGAGAGGGUGAUCGGCCACACUGGGACUGAGACACGGCCCAGACUCCUACGGGAGGCAGCAGUAGGGAAUCUUCGGCAAUGGGGGCAACCCUGACCGAGCAACGCCGCGUGAGUGAAGAAGGUUUUCGGAUCGUAAAGCUCUGUUGUAAGAGAAGAACGAGUGUGAGAGUGGAAAGUUCACACUGUGACGGUAACUUACCAGAAAGGGACGGCUAACUACGUGCCAGCAGCCGCGGUAAUACGUAGGUCCCGAGCGUUAUCCGGAUUUAUUGGGCGUAAAGCGAGCGCAGGCGGUUAGAUAAGUCUGAAGUUAAAGGCUGUGGCUUAACCAUAGUACGCUUUGGAAACUGUUUAACUUGAGUGCAGAAGGGGAGAGUGGAAUUCCAUGUGUAGCGGUGAAAUGCGUAGAUAUAUGGAGGAACACCGGUGGCGAAAGCGGCUCUCUGGUCUGUAACUGACGCUGAGGCUCGAAAGCG